This 461-nucleotide long non-coding RNA is filed under the name Homo sapiens (human). Its description in RNAcentral is "novel transcript". The record is from RNAcentral. Lineage: Eukaryota; Metazoa; Chordata; Mammalia; Primates; Hominidae.
AUACUGGGAUGAGGAUGCUUGUAAUGUGGUGCACACUGAUUACCAGAGCACAGCUGAGAUACUGUUGGGUCCUGUCUCCUCCCAAAGCACACAUCACAUCCCAGGGUGCACACCAGUAAAUGAUCAGAUUCUGGACAUGGGGAGCCAAGGACAGGGGAAGGCAGAGAGAGGAGCAGAAUUGCAACCACUGUCGUCAUGAAGGAAGCUAGAGAUCACGGAGGAGAAAACUGAGAUCCAAAGAAGUUAAAUUACUUGUCCAAAGCCACUUGAUGUGGGAGUGGAAUGACCGAGAGGAUGUGGAUUCUGGAACCAGAGCCAGUUCCACAUGAUGGUUCCAGCACACCCCUCACACUGCCCUCUGGUGAUCUACUGUCUCCUCAUCUCUUCCUCCUCUGCAGAAUGGAGGAAUAGCAGCACCUACCUCCCAAGGUUUUGGAAGAAUAAAUGAGUACCUGACACAA